Non-coding RNA from Rattus norvegicus (Norway rat), 1859 nucleotides. The record is from RefSeq and is a predicted model, not a curated record. NCBI's taxonomy places the organism in Eukaryota, Metazoa, Chordata, Mammalia, Rodentia, Muridae.
CGUCACUGAGACCUGCCAUGGCCUAAUACCUAAACAGUUUUCCUUACACUGAUCAGAUUUGGAGUGCCAUUUCCAGAUGGGAGGGUAGCGUUAUUGUCCUCUGCAACGCUCCACCAAGCAGCCGACUGACACAGAAGCAGAGGCACAGGGCUUGAUAUCAGAUGGAGCUCAGUGAGUCUCACUGAAAAGCUGAGGGAAGGACUGAGAGAGGCAGAGUUGCACAAUGGUCUUCACGUGGGUUCACUAAACCCGUCACCUGUCUGUGGAUCCUGUUCUCCUACCCGGGCUGCGUUUUCAAGAGCUGGUUGAUGGAUCUUUCUCUUUUCCUAAGAAAAGGCCACUCUGGUUCUCAACUCACUCUUGAAGCCGUGACAGGAGACAUUCACAUCUCAUUCCUUAAGGACUAUACAAAAGGUUUGCUCAAAGUCAUCUGCAGAUACAUCUUUUUUAGGAAUGAAUCCUUCGCACUGGAGACCAGAGAAGAGACCUGCAGUUGCAUUAUUAAUAAACAUCAAAGCAAAAUAUAAAAGUCUGAAUGGAAUAAAUAUUUUAGGACAGUGUUUUGCAAGCAAAUUCUUUCAUAGACAGUCUUUGAAGAGCUCUGAAAUUUUGCAUUUCAUAUUUGACUUUUCUGGGACUCUGACUAGAAUCAACUCACAACUGUUUGGGAUUUUCUUGGCAAUUAACCAGUUUGUGAACAGAGCUGAAUUUAUCAUAUGCUCUUCCAUCUACAUUAAUAUUGCUACAGUGAGGAACAACUAUGGUAAAACUCUUCAUCUGAUUUUUCAAACAGCAUCCUCAUACCACUGCGGACUUUUGUGCUUGUGGAGGGAAAGGUUGAGAACACCAUUUGAAAGUUGGAAAUGCUGAAGUGGGAAAGGCCUGUGUGUGGAUCAUACACAACUUCAGAAUAUCCAUUGUUUUAAUAGUCACUAGGAAGUGGACUUCUGCAAAAUGACUUCAGCAGAAAAUCAUGGUAGAAAAACGGUAAUUGAUUCACUGGAAAUAUAGAUGCACUGGAUUGUUCAACAUGGGCUUAGAGGUAGAGACAUGUGAGCACAUAAAGUAUGGAGAAUCAAUCCUGUGUGAUGUUAAGUUUCCCUACCCCAUGGUUUCAUGCAAACAGCAUUAUAUUUAAGCACUGAGGAAUAGAAUAAAAGUCAAUUUUUUGAAAAUCCAAGUCACAAAAAGUACUGUCCUCCUCCAUGAUGCACAUAAACUCUCAGGUGCACUGGCCUUCACAUGCCUGGAUGACAGCUGUCAGCAUGGGAUUUACUGCCAUCCUUUUCAUAACAGCAGAGCUCCAAUCUGCUUCAGCCACGUCAUCAGCUCCCCAUUCUGAUGGAGGGAGACUAGUUCACUGAGUAUGCCUAUGAAAUCUUUGAUUAGCUUAAAGACCUAGGAACUAUUUUCACUCCAGUGAGCUGUUAUAAGUAAUCUUGAAUUGAGUUGGUAUUGUUAGUGGCUGUGAUGUCUACAAAUCCCAGAAGACCAUGUUUCAAAGGGAGUUGAUUGAGAAUUUCUUGGGUAUUUUUGCAAUACUGGUAGGUGGGCUCGAUGAAUAGGAACAUCUUCCCAGACUGGGUCUUGCAGUUCCCAUACUCCUGAGCCAUGUUGUGAGGCUGCAGUUUCCCUGAAAGGAACGUUCUAUUGAAAAAUGGUAAUCUCAAUGUAUUCUGAACAAUGCAUUACAUUGAAGACCAUAGAAAACAUGGAAGAAAGAAACUUUUACUUUUUCUAGCUUACACUCACAUUCCUACCAAACCCUCACAUACCAUAGAACCUGCUUACUGAGGAUUUAAUCAUAUAAUAAUGAACAGAUGAGACAUCCAGGCUUGUGGACUUAUCAACUACUGGAU